Molecule: ribosomal RNA, 622 nt
Filed under: Pseudo-nitzschia fraudulenta
Lineage: Eukaryota; Bacillariophyta; Bacillariophyceae; Bacillariales; Bacillariaceae
Description: partial Bacterial large subunit ribosomal RNA
Rfam family: Bacterial large subunit ribosomal RNA
Source: RNAcentral
CUAAGGUAGCGAAAUUCCUUGUCGGGUAAGUUCCGACCCGCACGAAAGGCGUAAUGAUUUGGAUACUGUCUCGGAGAGGGGCUCGGUGAAAUAGACUUGUCUGUGAAGAUGCGGACUACCUGCACCUGGACAGAAAGACCCUAUGAAGCUUUACUGUAACUUGAAAUUGAAAUUGGACUUUAUUUGCGCAGCAUAGGUGGGAGGCAUUGAGUUUAUUCUUGCGGGAAUUUAGGAGCCAUCAGUGAGAUACCACUCUGGUAAUGUUAGAUUUCUAACUUUGUAUCAUGAUCUGGUCAAAGAACAGUUUCAGGCGGGCAGUUUGACUGGGGCGGUCGCCUCCCAAAUGGUAACGGAGGCGUACAAAGGUUUCCUCUGAACGUGUAGAAAUCGUAUCUAGAGUGUAAAGGCAUAAGGAAGCUUGACUGUGAGACCUACAAGUCGAGCAGGGACGAAAGUCGGUCUUAGUGAUCUGACGGUGCUGAGUGGAAAGGCCGUCACUCAACGGAUAAAAGUUACUCUAGGGAUAACAGGCUGAUCUCCCCCAAGAGUUCACAUCGACGGGGAGGUUUGGCACCUCGAUGUCGGCUCAUCUCAUCCUGGGGCUGGAGCAGGUCCCAAGGGU